Ctenopharyngodon idella (grass carp) is the source of this 1544-nucleotide long non-coding RNA. RefSeq lists it as uncharacterized. The record is from RefSeq and is a predicted model, not a curated record. The transcript is spliced from 3 exons. NCBI's taxonomy places the organism in Eukaryota, Metazoa, Chordata, Actinopteri, Cypriniformes, Xenocyprididae.
GCCAGCGGUCCGUGGGCGUGACGUCUGAAGCUGAGACUACAUCUCAACCAGUGUACAAACCCACUUUCCUGGAAUCACCAAACCAGAAGCGCCUGCUAUCAGCGCUGCAUCGGUAGAUCUUUAUAAACGCGUUUCAUUUGUCCAGUUCUUUCAGGUUUAGCGUAAGAGCUCCACUGACUGCGUUUACUGGCACUGUCCGAGCACCAUCAGAACAACAUUAUGGUUGAACUGGAUCCUAUCAUCAUUGGCACAGUCAUAGGAGGGGUUUUGAUCAUUGUUGUCACUCUUGCCAUCACCUUCUGCUGUGUCUUUAAAAAUAAAUCACUUCCAGUUCCUCCGAUACCUCUAGUGUAACCGCUGCCUUUCAUACAGCAGUAGACCACGCCUUAUUGGAUGCAGAAUGAAAUUAAUGAAUUACUUAUUUUUGUAUAUCUUAUUUUAUAGAUUGUGAUCUGUUUGAUUAUAAUGCUCUGUACAGCACUUUGGUCAACCUUGGGCUGUUUGUAAAUGUGCUUAUAAAAAUAACCAAUGAAUGAAUGAAUGAUUAUACAAGACCAGCGGAUGUGUUUUAGUCCAUUAUAUUGUCUGUUUUAUUUUCAGUUUGUCCUUUCAGUUUGGUUUUUGUUCAGUGACAGUACUUUAUUUAGUGUUUUAAUUUUCAGUUUUGUUUAUGUUUUUUCCAUUAUAUUUAAUGGAAUCCAUUAUAAAUAUUUUAUACAUAUAUAUAUUUGAUAUACCUUGGAACUAAAUGAAUAUAUUUAUUUACUACGGUAUUGAUAGGUUAGUCCAAAACACUAGACAUGGACUACUUUAACCUUGCAUUCAAGAGUAUGAACUAGAUGUUAUGUUUACUGUGAAAGAAACUAGUCCGGUUUGUGACAUAAAUAAUUUCUUUUACCCCUAUUAGCCUCUGUGCUCCCACAUUAUUAAAGUAUUACCAAUGUAAAACUCACUGAAAUUUUCUAGAUAUGAAGUUGUUGUUUUUUCCUACUCAAGUGUAAGGGAACCUCCUUAAAGUUAAAUGAUAAUUUUUGUUAAUUCAAUACCUUUUCAAAAGUCAUUCAUAUAAUGACUGACGAUAUCAAUCCUGUGCUGUGGUUUUUACAGUCGAAAAGCACUGAGCUUGAGUUGAGAUGCAGAUCAAAUUAACUUGUAACAACCUAUUUUUAUUGGGAAAAAUGUUCAUAUUCUACUCUUAUUAAAUGUACCUUUGAUCUUCAAUAGUUUCAUACAGAACUGACCGACAGCUUCAGUGGUUAUAAAAGGAGCACCCUUUACUUGCUUUCUGUGUAAUUCAGUUUUUGUUUUUGAUGAGACUUUAUGACUUUUCCUACUUCAUACUUGUCAAAAAUUGAUUUAUUUUUUAAUAGAGAUUUCAUAAUAUCUAAAUAUAAAUCUAAAAAAAGUCAAAUGUGUGGGGGGAAAAAACUAUAUUAGGGAGUUGAAAUGGUUAAUAAGCUAAUUAAUGCUCUCUGCUGCCAUCUGCUGGUUAUAGUGGUCAUUUCAUGUCUUUUUUAUUUUUAAAUAAAAACACUUGUUUCCCA